CUGCCCAGUGAAUUUUCAUCGGCCGCGGUAUCCUAGCCGUGCAAAGGUAGCAUAAUCACUUGCCUAUUAAUUGUAGGCUAGAAUGAACGGAUAAACGAAGUAACCCCUGUCUCUUUCAUAAUAACAAAAACUAAUAUUUGAAUGAAGAAGUUCAAAUAACAUUAAAGGACAAGAAGACCCUGUAGAGCUUUAUCUAAACUUAUAUAAAUAAGGACAGAUUAGGUUGGGGCGACCAAGGUAUAAAUACAUCAUCCUAACAGCAAAGAUAAAUUAAUCAGACAAAAGAUCCUUUUAAGAUCACAAAAUCAAGCUACCUCAGGGAUAACAGGCUAAUUUUUCUUCAGAGUCCUUAUCAAAAGAAAAGGUUGGCACCUCGAUGUUGGCUUAGGGAAUCUAAACAGCGCAAAAGUUGUAAG
This 416-nucleotide ribosomal RNA is filed under the name Drawida assamensis. Its description in RNAcentral is "partial large subunit ribosomal RNA". It matches the Rfam family "Bacterial large subunit ribosomal RNA", at positions 1859 to 2569 of the family's 2925-position model. Lineage: Eukaryota; Metazoa; Annelida; Clitellata; Moniligastrida; Moniligastridae. The record is from RNAcentral.